CAGGACAUAGUUAAAUAAGAAUAUUGGCUUUGGGGGCCAGUGGUGGGGAUAAUUUCCCCUGUCCUGA
This 67-nucleotide transfer RNA is filed under the name Anilany helenae. Its description in RNAcentral is "tRNA-Pro". Lineage: Eukaryota; Metazoa; Chordata; Amphibia; Anura; Microhylidae. The record is from RNAcentral.